AGCGAACGCUGGCGGCAGGCCUAACACAUGCAAGUCGAACGAACUCUUCGGAGUUAGUGGCGGACGGGUGAUUAACACGUGGGAACGUGCCUUUUGGUUCGGAAUAACUCAGGGAAACUUGUGCUAAUACCGAAUGUGCCCUUCGGGGGAAAGAUUUAUCGCCAUUAGAUCGGCCCGCGUCUGAUUAGCUAGUUGGUGAGGGAACGGCUAACCAAGGCGACGAUCAGUAGCUGGUCUGAGAGGAUGACCAGCCACACUGGGACUGAGACCCGGACCAGACUCCUACGGGAGGCAGCAGUGGGGAGUAUUGCGGAAUGGGCGAAAGCCUGACGCAGCCAUGCCGCGUGAAUGAUGAAGGUCUUAGGAUUGUACAAUUCUUUCACCGGGGACGAUAAUGACGGUAACCGGAGAAGAAGCCCCGGCUAACUUCGUG
RNAcentral lists this ribosomal RNA (433 nucleotides) under uncultured bacterium. Its description in RNAcentral is "partial 16S ribosomal RNA". It matches the Rfam family "Bacterial small subunit ribosomal RNA", at positions 29 to 507 of the family's 1533-position model. The record is from RNAcentral.